RNAcentral lists this ribosomal RNA (483 nucleotides) under uncultured bacterium. RNAcentral's name for it is "partial 16S ribosomal RNA". It matches the Rfam family "Bacterial small subunit ribosomal RNA", at positions 28 to 507 of the family's 1533-position model. The record is from RNAcentral.
GACGAACGCUGGCGGCGUGCUUAACACAUGCAAGUCGAACGCUGAAGCUCAGCUUUUGUUGGGUGGAUGAGUGGCGAACGGGUGAGUAACACGUGAGUAACCUGCCCCCUUCUUUGGGAUAACGCCCGGAAACAGGUGCUAAUACUGGAUAUUCACUGGUCUUCGCAUGGGGGUUGGUGGAAAGGGUUUUUCUGGUGGGGGAUGGGCUCGCGGCCUAUCAGCUUGUUGGUGGGGUGAUGGCCUACCAAGGCUUUGACGGGUAGCCGGCCUGAGAGGGUGACCGGUCACAUUGGGACUGAGAUACGGCCCAGACUCCUACGGGAGGCAGCAGUGGGGAAUAUUGCACAAUGGGCGCAAGCCUGAUGCAGCGACGCCGCGUGAGGGAUGGAGGCCUUCGGGUUGUGAACCUCUUUCGCUCAUGGUCAAGCCGCAACAAUGGUUGUGGUGAGGGUAGUGGGUAAAGAAGCGCCGGCUAACUACGUG